RNAcentral lists this ribosomal RNA (253 nucleotides) under uncultured bacterium. RNAcentral's name for it is "partial 16S ribosomal RNA". It matches the Rfam family "Bacterial small subunit ribosomal RNA", at positions 524 to 776 of the family's 1533-position model. The record is from RNAcentral.
GACAGAGGGUGCAAACGUUGUUCGGAAUGACUGGGCGUAAAGCGUGCGCAGGCGGCUUUGCAAGACGGAUGUGAAAUCCCCGGGCUUAACCUGGGAACUGCAUUUGUGGCUGCAUGGCUGGAGUGCGGCAGAGGGGGAUGGAAUUCCGCGUGUAGCAGUGAAAUGCGUAGAUAUGCGGAGGAACACCGAUGGCGAAGGCAAUCCCCUGGGCCUGCACUGACGCUCAUGCACGAAAGCGUGGGGAGCAAACAGG